This 610-nucleotide ribosomal RNA is filed under the name Aureobasidium sp. CECT 11965. Its description in RNAcentral is "eukaryotic LSU rRNA". It matches the Rfam family "Eukaryotic large subunit ribosomal RNA", at positions 44 to 667 of the family's 3401-position model. Lineage: Eukaryota; Fungi; Ascomycota; Dothideomycetes; Dothideales; Saccotheciaceae. The record is from RNAcentral.
CAAUAAGCGGAGGAAAAGAAACCAACAGGGAUUGCCCUAGUAACGGCGAGUGAAGCGGCAACAGCUCAAAUUUGAAAUCUGGCCCUUUCAGGGUCCGAGUUGUAAUUUGUAGAGGAUGCUUUUGGGCAGCCACCGGUCUAAGUUCCUUGGAACAGGACGUCAUAGAGGGUGAGAAUCCCGUAUGUGACUGGACAGGCACCCUUUGUAAAGCUCCUUCGACGAGUCGAGUUGUUUGGGAAUGCAGCUCUAAAUGGGAGGUAAAUUUCUUCUAAAGCUAAAUACCGGCCAGAGACCGAUAGCGCACAAGUAGAGUGAUCGAAAGAUGAAAAGCACUUUGGAAAGAGAGUUAAAAAGCACGUGAAAUUGUUGAAAGGGAAGGGCUUGCAAUUAGACUUGCCCGCAGUUGUUCAGCUGGUCUUCUGACCGGUUUAUUCUUCUGCGGGCAGGCCAGCAUCAGUUUCGGCGGCCGGAUAAAGGCUCUGGGAAUGUGGCUGUCCUUCGGGGCAGUGUUAUAGCCCAGGGUGUAAUACGGCCAGCCGGGACUGAGGUCCGCGCUUCGGCUAGGAUGCUGGCGUAAUGAUUGUAAGCCGCCCGUCUUGAAACACGGACA